RNAcentral lists this unclassified non-coding RNA (1441 nucleotides) under uncultured Neocallimastigales. Its description in RNAcentral is "partial contains small subunit ribosomal RNA, internal transcribed spacer 1, 5.8S ribosomal RNA, internal transcribed spacer 2, and large subunit ribosomal RNA". The stretch from base 662 to 1441 matches the Rfam family "Eukaryotic large subunit ribosomal RNA", at positions 1 to 630 of the family's 3401-position model. The record is from RNAcentral. Lineage: Eukaryota; Fungi; Neocallimastigomycota; Neocallimastigomycetes; Neocallimastigales.
UUUCCGUAGGUGAACCUGCGGAAGGAUCAUUAAAAAAUUGGACUCCAUUGGUGAGUUCAUUAAUAAUCCCUACCCUUUGUGAAUUUGUUUGUUUGAAUAAUUUUUUUUCCAAAAAAAAUUAUUGAAUGUCUUUCCUUGUUUUGGUGGAGCUUGUAAAGUGAAACCAGGCAGGGGAAUGGCAAACAAUAAUUAUUUUUGAAAAAGACCUUUUUUUAAAAUUAAACUUUUUGUAUUCAUUUGUCUAAAAUUAAUUUUUAUAAUAUAAAAACAACUUUUGACAAUGGAUCUCUUGGUUCUCGCAGCGAUGAAGAACGCAGCAAAAUGCGAUAAGUAGUGUGAAUUGCAGAAUACGUGAAUCAUCGAAUCUUCGAACGCAUAUUGCACUUUUUUAGUUUACUAAAAAAGUAUGUCUGUUUGAGUAUCAGUAAAAUAUUCUCAUAAAAAACAUUGUUUUUUUUAUGGUUAUGAGUGUUUUACAACGAUAACAAGUUGUUUCACUUUAAAUUCUUUGUUAUCAAAAAAAUCAUUAAAAGCUAAUUUUAAAGAUUUUUUAAAAUUGGAUAAAAUUUUCCCGUAAAAAGGAAUAACCUAAACAAUUUUAAAAAAUUAAAAUUGGUUUGAUUUUUUUUGAAACCCAAAGGAAAAAAAAACGAAAUUAACUUGAUCUCAAAUCAGAUAAGAGUACCCGCUGAACUUAAGCAUAUCAAUAAGCGGAGGAAAAGAAACUAACUAGGAUUCCCUCAGUAACGGCGAGUGAAGCGGGAAGAGCUCAAAUUUGAAAUCUUCAAGGUUUUACCUUGACGAAUUGUAGUUUAAAGAAGUGUUUUCUGUUGGAGUUUUGGUAAAAGUUCUUUGGAAAAGGACAUCAUAGAGGGUGAGAAUCCCGUAUUUGACCAUUAUCUCCAGCUUUGUGAUACACUUUCAAAGAGUCGGAUUGUUUGGGAAUGCAGUCCAAAAUGGGUGGUAAAUUUUAUCUAAAGCUAAAUACUGGCGAGAGACCGAUAGCGAACAAGUACCGUGAGGGAAAGAUGAAAAGAACUUUGAAAAGAGAGUUAAACAGUACGUGAAAUUGUCAAAAGGGAAGCGUUUGACACCAGUGUUGUUUUCUCGAAAAUCAAUUAAAAAAGGCCGGAUUUUGUGUUGUAUUGACUUUAUCAGCUUUCUGCACUCUUUUCUUGUCUUUUUUAAUGCACUUUUCGUUUAACAAGUCAACAUCAAUUUCUUUUGUUGUAAAAGGGUCAUUGGAGGGUGGCUUUCUUUUCGGAGAAAGUGUUUAUAGCCUUUGGCCUCUGCAAUCGGAGAGAUUGAGGUCUGCAGCGUAGAUCCUUCGGGGUUAGAUACAUUUGUGCUAAGUUAUAGCCUUUCAUAGACAACUUGUUGACUAUGAUCAGUCAUGUAGCUUACUCGCUUAUGCUAUUUUACCUACGCUUAGGAUGUUGAG